Carassius auratus (goldfish) is the source of this 1501-nucleotide long non-coding RNA. RefSeq lists it as uncharacterized. The transcript is spliced from 4 exons. The record is from RefSeq and is a predicted model, not a curated record. NCBI's taxonomy places the organism in Eukaryota, Metazoa, Chordata, Actinopteri, Cypriniformes, Cyprinidae.
AUCUGUUUAAUAUACAUGUAUGAUCAUUAUUAUAAAGGCCACGAGAGGGCAUCAUCUGAUAUUUUCCCUGAACCGGAUGAGGCGAGGCGAGGCUGGUGGAGUAUUUGAGUUCAGGCGGGAAAAACGAAUAGCCUACGUGAUGACGCAACACGUUGAAUGAAUUGUUUUUGUUUAUGCGAUGGCGCUCAACAAAAUAAAACACGUCUAGUGUACAUCACAGCGCACACCAGAAAAGAUGACAUCCGUGAUGGAGUGGCUUUUCAGCCCAGCUGUCCAAAACAUGUUUUUUGGACAAAUAACAGGGAAUGUCUCCUCAAAAAGCCCAGGGGAAUGCUGGGAUCCCCCUGCAGUGCUACACCCAGCACAACACCUCCAAGAGAAGAUAAUGUGAAAACCCCAACAGGCAAGUUGUUAUUUGGCCACCACACAGACAGAAUGGAAAAAUGUUGUUUUCAUAAUACAAAUGUUGUUUCUGUCUUGAAUCUGGGCUGAAUUAGGUGGAUUUAGGACUUCCAGUCACCAAACAAAGACUCCUAAGGAGCAGAGAUUUGAUUUGAAGGAUAGAUAAACUGGGGUCUGCAAAGUUUUUUUUCAAUCUGACCACAAAAAAGCGCAUUUGACUUUUUAAACCUAAAUUUUAUAUAGCUUAUAUAUUUGAUAUUAUUCUUUAAUUUCAAUAGUUAUAUUGUGAAAUAUUAUAAUUUAAAAUAACUGUUUUCUAGUUUAGUGUAUUUUAAAAUGUCCUUUCUUUAUUUAAUGGCAAAGCUGACUAUUCAGCAUCAUUACUCCAGUCUUCAUUUUUAUAGACCCAUUUAGUCUGUAUUCAGUGGUGGUCAUUCAGGUGGAGUUUUAUUAACAGUGGUGGUUCACAGAAGAAAUCCAGACCUACAGCAUCUGACCAUAAACCCAGCUCAACAAACCCACACAGAAGUGCCCAGCAGGUUCCACAGGGCUCUCCUGAGACGAGAUGCCCUCUUUGUGGAGAAUCCUUCAGUUUCUGAUUAUCUGCCUUUCCAUGCUUCCUCCUGCCUGGAUUGUGAUUCAGUGGCGCUCAUGGGAGUCAGGGAACCAGAGGUCAUGAUCUCACUGCACUCUUCUGUUUUUGGCUCUGGUGCAGAUGAGCAGCAUAUGGUUCCAUGUCCUCUAUGCUCCUUCCGAUUCCCCCCAGACUGUACCCAGCAGCACGCCAGCGCCUGUGGUGACCCGGUAGAGCCUGGUACUGCGUGACAGAACUGAGUGAAACCUUUUCAAAAUAGCAAAAUGCAAAUCAGAUAUUCUCUUGGUUUCUCUGGCCUAACAUUGUAUAUACUACUGGCUUAGGAAUUUUCUUGCUUAGGAAAAGUUUCAUUCUCCAGUUUUUGUUGUUUUUAGAGGCACUUUAUAGCAUUGGUCACUAUGAAAUGUUUGUCGUCUUAUCUGCUUUACACUCUCUUUUUGAUAUCAAGAUCAUAUUAGAAUGCUGUUUGUAAUUGUUUACAUUAUAUUUAUUAUUUAGAAUGUU